Molecule: ribosomal RNA, 406 nt
Filed under: uncultured bacterium
Lineage: Bacteria
Description: partial 16S ribosomal RNA
Rfam family: Bacterial small subunit ribosomal RNA
Source: RNAcentral
AUUGAACGCUGGCGGCAGGCCUAACACAUGCAAGUCGAGCGAGCGGCGGACGGGUGAGUAAUGUCUGGGAAACUGCCUGAUGGAGGGGGAUAACUACUGGGAACGGUAGCUAAUACCGCAUACCAUCAGAUGUGCCCCGAUGGGCUUAGCUAGUAGGUGGGUUAACGGCUCACCUAGGCUACGAUCCCUAGCUGGUCUGAGAGGAUGACCAGCCACACGGGAACUGAGACACGGUCCAGACUCCGACGGGAGGCAGCAGUGGGGAAUAUUGCACAAUGGGCGCAAGCCUGAUGCAGCCAUGCCGCGUGUAUGAAGAAGGCCUUCGGGUUGUAAAGUACUUUCAGCGGGGAGGCGUUACCCGCAGAAGAAGCACCGGCUAACUCCGUGCCAGCAGCCGCGGUAAUUC